This is a non-coding RNA of Ictidomys tridecemlineatus (thirteen-lined ground squirrel), 72 nucleotides long. The record is from Rfam. Lineage: Eukaryota; Metazoa; Chordata; Mammalia; Rodentia; Sciuridae.
GGUGUUGGGGCUCAGUGAUAGAGCACUUGCCUAGCAUGCUUGAGGCACUGGGUUCAAUCCCCAGCACCACAU